Molecule: non-coding RNA, 71 nt
Organism: Oesophagostomum dentatum (nodular worm)
Lineage: Eukaryota; Metazoa; Nematoda; Chromadorea; Rhabditida; Strongylidae
Source: the annotation of a GenBank genome assembly
UCGGAUGGCUAAGUCGGUAGAAUGUUGGACUAUGAUUCCAGCAGUUCCUGGUUCGAGUCCCAAUUGGCGAA